This 276-nucleotide ribosomal RNA is filed under the name uncultured Eubacteriales bacterium. Its description in RNAcentral is "uncultured Clostridiales bacterium partial 16S ribosomal RNA". It matches the Rfam family "Bacterial small subunit ribosomal RNA", at positions 52 to 339 of the family's 1533-position model. The record is from RNAcentral. Lineage: Bacteria; Bacillati; Bacillota; Clostridia; Eubacteriales.
ACUUACAUUGAAGCCUAGCGAUAUGUAAGUUAGUGGCGGACGGGUGAGUAACGCGUGGGUAACCUGCCUCAUACAGGGGGAUAACAGUUAGAAAUGACUGCUAAUACCGCAUAAGCGCACAGGACCGCAUGGUCUAGUGUGAAAAACUCCGGUGGUACAAGAUGGACCCGCGUCUGAUUAGCUGGUUGGUGAGGUAACGGCCCACCAAGGCGACGAUCAGUAGCCGGCCUGAGAGGGUGAACGGCCACAUUGGGACUGAGACACGGCCCAAACUCC